UAAAUUGUUAAAAGGGACGAGAAGACCCUAUUGAGCUUUAAAUUUAAAUAUUAUAGUUAAUUUUAUAUUUAUAUAUUUUACAUAAUAGGAAGUUUUGGUUGGGGUAACCCAGGAAUAUUGAUGAAAUUUCCUGAUUUUUAUGUAAAUGAUAGUUUGUGAUCCAUUAUAGUAAUGAUUAAUAGAUAUAGUUACCGUAGGGAUAACAGCGUAAUCUUUUCUGAGAGU
This 225-nucleotide ribosomal RNA is filed under the name Ennucula similis. RNAcentral describes it as "Nuculoma similis partial 16S ribosomal RNA". Lineage: Eukaryota; Metazoa; Mollusca; Bivalvia; Nuculida; Nuculidae. The record is from RNAcentral.